UACGUAGGGGGCAAGCGUUGUCCGGAAUUACUGGGCGUAAAGGGUGCGCAGGCGGCUUGGUUAGUCAGAAGUGAAAGUUUGCAGCUUAACUGUAAAAGUGCUUUUGAUACUGCCUGGCUUGAGUCUCGGAGGGGUAAGCGGAAUUCCUAGUGUAGCGGUAAAAUGCGUAGAGAUUAGGAAGAACACCGGCGGCGAAGGCGGCUUACUGGACGAGUACUGACGCUCAUGCACGAAAGCGUGGGAAGCAAAC
Molecule: ribosomal RNA, 250 nt
Filed under: uncultured prokaryote
Description: partial 16S ribosomal RNA
Rfam family: Bacterial small subunit ribosomal RNA
Source: RNAcentral